AAGCUGGAGCACAGAGUGUGCUGACAUAGGAAUAUGAAGCAUCACGGAACCAAAUUGAGCUGGUAUGGUGAGAUAGAAGAUCACGUGGGUGGAAUCUGAAGCAGAGUGGCAAUCAAGUCGCAUGAUGGAAAUUUGCAGCCCAGCUGGACAAACAGAGUUAUAGGCGCAUUGCACUUGGAAGAAAAUUAUGUGGUAGUUUACUCAUAUCGUGCAGUGUGUUCCGGACUUCCGAUUCAUGGAGAGUGGAGUGAGUUUCAUAAGGAUCGGAGUCUAGUUGUUUGUCUGGUUCGAGGAUGAAGGGUUGGGACAGUUAGUUUCAGGAUGUUGCAGAGGAGCACUUGGAUCUGUUUGGGCGAUGCUUGUGCCACUUGGAUUUGUUCGGGUGAUGCUUGGUCUGGUAUGAUUCCUGCUGUAGUCUUCACUUCACCUAUUAACCCAUUGAACCAUUGACCAAUUCAUGUGAAAGCGUUCUCAACAGUUCAAUGGAGGUAAAAUAGUUUACUCCUUAUACCGUAAUGUGCUAAUGCUUUUCUGUUCACGCAAAUAUAUGUUAUGCUGGGCAAAACCUAUCAACGUCGGCAUCAGCAAGGUGGCUGAUCCCCUGCGCCCAAGACUUAGUUCCAGGAACAUUGGUUAGUUGGUUAGAGUUUGAGGCAAGUAAGAUUUGAUAGAGUUUGAGUUAGAGUCAAAUUUGAUAGGGUUUGAGUUAGAGUCGGAGUUUGUUACCUCGAUUGUAAAGGAUAAGUCCGGUCAAGUUAAUGAAACAGGUAGCCUGGGAUUUGUGUCAGAUAGACACCGUAGGGCGCCCAGCGUCGUUUACAUCGUUUCCUCGCGCCC
Molecule: long non-coding RNA, 837 nt
Filed under: Sorghum bicolor (sorghum)
Lineage: Eukaryota; Viridiplantae; Streptophyta; Magnoliopsida; Poales; Poaceae
Description: long non-coding RNA (SBIC_LNC015395)
Source: RNAcentral